This 501-nucleotide ribosomal RNA is filed under the name Staphylococcus epidermidis. Its description in RNAcentral is "partial 16S ribosomal RNA". Lineage: Bacteria; Bacillati; Bacillota; Bacilli; Caryophanales; Staphylococcaceae. The record is from RNAcentral.
AACCCCCUAACACUUAGCACUCAUCGUUUACGGCKUGGWCUACCAGGGUAUCUAAUCCUGUUUNAUCCCCACGCUUUCGCACAUCAGCGUCAGUUACAGACCAKAAAGUCGCCUUCGCCACUGGUGUUCCUCCAUAUCUCUGCGCAUUUCACCGCUACACAUKGRAUUCCACUUUCCUCUUCUGCACUCAAGUUUUCCAGUUUCCAAUGACCCUCCACGGUUGAGCCGUGGGCUUUCACAUCAGACUUWAAAAACCGCCUACGCGCGCUUUACGCCCAAUAAUUCCGGAUAACGCUUGCCACCUACGUAUUACCGCGGCUGCUGGCACGUAGUUAGCCGUGGCUUUCUGAUUAGGUACCGUCAAGACGUGCAUAGUUACUUACACAUUUGUUCUUCCCUAAUAACAGAGUUUUACGAUCCBUAGACCUUCAUCACUCACGCGGCGUUGCUCCGUCAGGCUUUCGCCCAUUGCGGAAGAUUCCCUACUGCUGCCUCCCGUAG